GGGUACACGAGUGGCGAACGGGUGAGUAACACGUGGGUGACCUGCCCUGCACUUCGGGAUAAGCCUGGGAAACUGGGUCUAAUACCGGAUAGGACCAUGGUGUGGAUGCUGUGGUGGAAAGUUUUUUCGGUGUGGGAUGGGCCCGCGGCCUAUCAGCUUGUUGGUGGGGUAAUGGCCUACCAAGGCGGCGACGGGUAGCCGGCCUGAGAGGGUGGACGGCCACAUUGGGACUGAGACACGGCCCAGACUCC
RNAcentral lists this ribosomal RNA (251 nucleotides) under uncultured Corynebacterium sp. Its description in RNAcentral is "partial 16S ribosomal RNA". It matches the Rfam family "Bacterial small subunit ribosomal RNA", at positions 85 to 339 of the family's 1533-position model. Lineage: Bacteria; Bacillati; Actinomycetota; Actinomycetes; Mycobacteriales; Corynebacteriaceae. The record is from RNAcentral.